GGCUCACCUAGACAUAUUAGUCUACCAUUUUAUGAAACCCUAAGUAAAUCUGACAAGUGGUUUUUGAGAAAUGCUGCGGACAAGUUCAUUUUUAAAGUGGCGGAAGAAGAAGAAGAGGAAGAAUAAUAAAAAUAACUAGAUUUGUAAUUGCUAGCAAUAACGGAUGGCACCCUCGUCCCCCCAUUGCCAGGAUAAAGGCAGCCAUUUUGAAAUUUCCAAAGUCAAAGAGCAUAUCUACACAUGGAAAUUAUGAUUUUUGUAAAGUUUUAUUAAGUUUGGAGCAUUUUGAAAUUUUUGACAUUUUAGUCAUUUCCAUGGUUACGGCGGCC
RNAcentral lists this long non-coding RNA (329 nucleotides) under Mytilus galloprovincialis (Mediterranean mussel). Lineage: Eukaryota; Metazoa; Mollusca; Bivalvia; Mytilida; Mytilidae. The record is from RNAcentral.